RNAcentral lists this unclassified non-coding RNA (312 nucleotides) under plant metagenome. RNAcentral describes it as "partial contains 5.8S ribosomal RNA, internal transcribed spacer 2, and large subunit ribosomal RNA". The record is from RNAcentral.
GCAGCAGGCGGAAUCCUAUGUGUUCCUGCUCGAUGCCCAUCACCCCGCGCCGCCCUUCAUCAUCGUCUGCGACGUCGGCUAGUGCCUGGAACUCUAUGCGGAUUUCACCGACACGGGCCGCGCCUACAGCCACUUCCCGGAUCGCAACGGCUAUCGCGUCUAUCUUGAGGAUCUGCGCAGCCCCGAGAACCGCAAUCUCCUGAAACGGUUCUGGGAGGAGCCCCACUCCCUCGACCGGUCGAAGGAAGCAGCGCGCGUCACCCGCGACAUCGCCAAGCGACUGGCGCAAGUGAGCAAGGCCCUGGAGGAGCG